RNAcentral lists this ribosomal RNA (764 nucleotides) under Tarebia granifera. RNAcentral's name for it is "partial 16S ribosomal RNA". It matches the Rfam family "Bacterial large subunit ribosomal RNA", at positions 1498 to 2557 of the family's 2925-position model. Lineage: Eukaryota; Metazoa; Mollusca; Gastropoda; Thiaridae. The record is from RNAcentral.
GAGGAUAAGCUCGAAAAUUGCCGUUGAGAACUGUAUAAUUAAAAAUUAUUAUGUGGGCCUAAAAUUAGCCAUCACAAAAGUUUGUUAUAAAAUAGUAAAAACACAUGAAAAUAUUUCUAUACACGAUACCACGCUAAGCUAUAAGAAUAAUAAUUUAAACCAAUAAAUUAAUAUACCUAUGCUAGGAUGAGUAUUAAAAUUGCUAUAAGAAAAAUUAAAGAUUUUCUUAGAAAUUGUUUCUAAUGCUAAUUAAAGACAAGGAACUCGGCAAAUGUUGUUCCGCCUGUUUAUCAAAAACAUGGCUCUUUGAAAAAAGCAUAUAAAGAGUCGAACCUGCCCAGUGAAGUUUUAAACGGCCGCGGUACCCUGACCGUGCAAAGGUAGCAUAAUCACUUGCCUUAUAAUUGAAGGCUGGCAUGAAUGGUCUGACGAGAGCUACACUGUCUCCUCUUUAUUAUCUAGAAAUUAACCUAUAGGUGAAGAGGCCUAUAUUAUAUUGAAGGACAAGAAGACCCUGUCGAGCUUAAAAGUAAAGUAAGAAUUAGCUAUAGAAGGAAAUCAAUAAAUUACAUAACUUUUUAGUUGGGGCGACUAAGGAACAAAUAAAGCUUCUUUUAUUUUUAUAGAUUAACAGAUCUUGAUCCAGCUAACGCUGAUUAGAGGAAUUAGUUACCGCAGGGAUAACAGCAUAAUCUCCUUUAAGAGACCUAAUCGAAAGGGGGGGUUGUGACCUCGAUGUUGGACUAGAAUAUCCUGAAGAUGCA